AAGGCUUUAAAAAUGUGUCAUAACGAAGCAAGUCUUUGAAAUUUGCAAAAAUAAGUAAUAAUCAACAUAUACUGCAUCAUGAGUAGGCACGAUAUAAGCGGUGUUUCUAUCCAAGUCUUUUUAAGUUCACUGAGUAAGUGCAUGCAUGGCGAAAUUCAUGGCAGCGACGAGUGCCAAGCUGUGGCUCGAUAUGGAGAGCUUAAUGAAAACGGCCGAAUAGUAGUUGUAUUCGUGAGAAUAUGCAAGUGUAAUGCGAAAUUUGAAGACAGAGAAAAUCUUUUGUAUAAUAAUUACAUCGGCAGUGGAAGGCUAGUUCUACCAUUCGACGGAGUAGAUGUGCACAAUCAUGAAGCCUGCGAGUAUAUCACUAGGAAGAAGGAUUUUCCAUCUUUUAAUUACAGGCUUGAGUUGUCUUGUCACUGCCAAGAUAUAAAACCGAUAGGAAGAGUUUUAGACUACAAUUAGAAAAGUCAAGAACCAUAGAUCUCCCUACAAGCUGAACAGAAUUGCCACCAUAACAACUAGAAACUGGAUCCUACCUAAUGAAUCCAAGUAAAUAAAGCAAACUUGUCAAAUUCAAAAUUGGGAUGGUAUAUAAUAAUGUGUGGUAAACAGAGUGCAUGCUUUUGUCUAUAAGACGUUGUUAAACAUCAAAACGUGUUUUUUUUCAGUUGUACAAUUUUCCUUUAAGUUUAAAAUCAUUCUGUGGUGAAAGUUUUAUCAUUGCAACAAAGGUAAAAUAUGACUUACUUUGUUCAUUUGAAACUUUUUUUUGUAAAUGUUUUCCUUAGAAUACAUACAGUUUGCAUUCUCUUCGAAGAAAGAUAAAUAAAAAGAUAUUAUUGUGUUUUUCGAGGAAUUUCAUCGAAGCCUAUUUUAUGUUACAUGAAAAUGAAUAUGUAUUUGAGCAAGACCUGUUGUUAUUUGUUUGUGAAUUUAGUAACAAUCUUAUUUGGGUAUUAAUAAAUGUCCUUUUUAUCA
Saccostrea cuccullata (small rock oyster) is the source of this 981-nucleotide long non-coding RNA. RefSeq lists it as uncharacterized. The transcript is spliced from 2 exons. The record is from RefSeq and is a predicted model, not a curated record. NCBI's taxonomy places the organism in Eukaryota, Metazoa, Mollusca, Bivalvia, Ostreida, Ostreidae.